This 497-nucleotide ribosomal RNA is filed under the name uncultured bacterium. RNAcentral describes it as "partial 16S ribosomal RNA". It matches the Rfam family "Bacterial small subunit ribosomal RNA", at positions 28 to 507 of the family's 1533-position model. The record is from RNAcentral.
GAUGAACGCUGGCGGCGUGCCUAAUACAUGCAAGUCGAGCGAACGGACGAGAAGCUUGCUUCUCUGAUGUUAGCGGCGGACGGGUGAGUAACACGUGGAUAACCUACCUAUAAGACUGGGAUAACUUCGGGAAACCGGAGCUAAUACCGGAUAAUAUUUUGAACCGCAUGGUUCAAAAGUGAAAGACGGUCUUGCUGUCACUUAUAGAUGGAUCCGCGCUGCAUUAGCUAGUUGGUAAGGUAACGGCUUACCAAGGCAACGAUGCAUAGCCGACCUGAGAGGGUGUUCGGCCACACUGGAACUGAGACACGGUCCAGACUCCUACGGGAGGCAGCAGUAGGGAAUAUUCCGCAAUGGGCGAAAGCCUGACGGAGCAACGCCGCGUGAGUGAUGAAGGUCUUCGGAUCGUAAAACUCUGUUAUUAGGGAAGAACAUAUGUGUAAGUAACUGUGCACAUCUUGACGGUACCUAAUCAGAAAGCCACGGCUAACUACGUG